Molecule: unclassified non-coding RNA, 244 nt
Filed under: Hevea brasiliensis (rubber tree)
Lineage: Eukaryota; Viridiplantae; Streptophyta; Magnoliopsida; Malpighiales; Euphorbiaceae
Source: RNAcentral
GUCCAUGAGAGCAGGAAUUGCUGCAGAUUCUGCAGCAGCUUUACUUUUCCGAGUACUUUCUCAACCUGCUUUGCUUUUCCCCCCCUUGAGGCAAAUUGAAGAAAUUGAAAUUCUGGGUGGCGACACUUCAUGUAAUAAAAAGCAGAGAGAAGUGACUGCUGCAGAAGCCACAGUAGAAGCCACUGCCCAAGGGAUUGCAUCAAUGCUUUGUGCUCAUGGUCCGGAGGUUGAAUGGAGAAUAUGU